GAUCAUCCUAUCUACUGGACUAUACACACAAGUAAUUAAGGUCAUAUACAAGAAACAACACCAAAAAUAGCCAAACCAGACAAUCAAGAAAAAAAUUUGCGUCCAUAGAUAGUAGGUGUCGGUCUGCGACUACACCACUUCUACCUUGGUGAAGAUAACCGUACACCUCCACUUGAUGUCGAUCAACAACUAUCGAUGGUUCUGGUGGCAGCUGUACGCACUAAAAUAUAAAAAGUUGAAGAUUUACAUAAGGAUAUAUGAAAAGUCGUAUAAAGGUUUAAUAUACACUAUACCUACUAAAGUAAGAGGUGAACGGUUUGAUUCUUCAUUAUGCAAUAUUUGCACGCACUUAAAUAAUUUCUUGGGUUCGCCACUGCACACAGCCACAACAACGUCCUAAAAGCCACUAACACGCUUUGAUGUCCUUCUCCUUCCAUUGUAAUAACCAAAACCCAACCCUCUUUCUCCUCAAACCUCACACUAGCCUCCUCUUUUUCUUCUCGAACCACAAGAAGCUAACUUUAUCUUUCUCUUAUUUCCCUAGGAACGACAAAUCACAACUAGGAAAAGAACGAGACAUUUUUUCGAGUUUAAAAGGAAAAACUAGGGUUUCCUACUCAAACCAACUAAACAGGGCUACUAAACUUAACUUACCAAUCCAACCUACCU
RNAcentral lists this long non-coding RNA (669 nucleotides) under Capsella grandiflora. RNAcentral's name for it is "long non-coding RNA (CGRA_LNC001112)". Lineage: Eukaryota; Viridiplantae; Streptophyta; Magnoliopsida; Brassicales; Brassicaceae. The record is from RNAcentral.